AGAGAUGCAGUUGGGCAAUAAAGGGUGCGCAGGUCGGUUUUGUAAGACAGAGGUGAAAUCCCCGGGCUCAACCUGGGAACUGCCUUUGUGACUGCAAGGCUGGAGUGCGGCAGAGGGGGAUGGAAUUCCGCGUGUAGCAGUGAAAUGCGUAGAUAUGCGGAGGAACACCGAUGGCGAAGGCAAUCCCCUGGGCCUGCACUGACGCUCGUGCACGAAAGCGUGGGGAGCAAACA
This 233-nucleotide ribosomal RNA is filed under the name uncultured Alicycliphilus sp. RNAcentral's name for it is "partial 16S ribosomal RNA". It matches the Rfam family "Bacterial small subunit ribosomal RNA", at positions 554 to 774 of the family's 1533-position model. The record is from RNAcentral. Lineage: Bacteria; Pseudomonadati; Pseudomonadota; Betaproteobacteria; Burkholderiales; Comamonadaceae.